AAGUCCUGUUCAGGGAGGAACGAGAAGUGUGGACACCUGCCUGAAGCUUCCCAGGCUUUGAAAAGAGAUGCAGGCACAGCAGCUGGUCUUCAAGAACACAGAGGUCAAGCAUUGAAAGACCUGGUCUGGAGAAACCAAAAUCAAGUUGAAUAUAAGUAAGAGAUGACAAAAGUUCAGCAGCAUCCCAUUCACAUGAAAAGUAUUUGCUUCUGGCCCCUGUUUGAAUCUUGGCAUUUCUGAAAACUACUCACCAGUCCAGAAAUGCAAGACACAGAGAGGAGCAAUACAGAGAAUGGAGGUUUUUGCAAAAGCCCAGAGAAACAGGCAACCCACUGGCACAAAUGCAGGUGCAGCUCCAGGAGGAAAGCAAUCUUUAUGCCUAGCAGGGCUGGUGUAACCAGAUCCUGCUGGUAGACAUCUGUCAAGCAUUGCCACAAGUCACAUCAGCUUAGGCCACCCUCAACACCACCACUGAAUAUGCCUAAUUCAUUCUUUUAUGUAUCCUCAGUGGCAGAUAAGAGAACUGGAAAUGCUGGGGGGACCCACCUGCAGGUCACCUUAUGCUUUAGUUUGAACUUCGGAACAAAGAGGAUGCUCUUCUUUCACUGAGCAAUAAUUGAUGGUCACAUCUGAGGCAACUAACCAAGAAUGAAUAAAAAGUUGAGCAUUAUGGGUUCCGUUCUUGUAAGUGUCUUCUGGCCCUGAUUCAGCAAAGCGUUUCAAGCUGUGCUAAAUGGUAAGCAUGUGAGUACUCCCACUGAAAUUCAGAAGUACUUCAUGCUCUUUAAAAUAACCAUGUGGAUUAAAGCAAGAAUGAGCACAAGUUUGUGGGAACAAGCCUGUGUUUUGUCCUGUUGAUAACAAAGCGCUUGCUCAGCACUGUAUAUCCCAGCAUGCUUCCUGAAUGAACUAACACCUGAGCAGCCAUCAGCAGUCUUUGCAGCAGAAGCAAUUUUUAAUGAAACAUGGUGGGGAGCCCUGCCAUGAGUAAACCACA
Long non-coding RNA from Pezoporus flaviventris, 997 nucleotides. RefSeq lists it as uncharacterized. The transcript has 3 exons. NCBI's taxonomy places the organism in Eukaryota, Metazoa, Chordata, Aves, Psittaciformes, Psittacidae. The record is from RefSeq and is a predicted model, not a curated record.